GACGAACGCUGGCGGCGUGCCUAAUACAUGCAAGUCGAACGCUGAAGAGAGGAGCUUGCUCUUCUUGGAUGAGUUGCGAACGGGUGAGUAACGCGUAGGUAACCUGCCUUGUAGCGGGGGAUAACUAUUGGAAACGAUAGCUAAUACCGCAUAACAAUGGAUGACCCAUGUCAUUUAUUUGAAAGGGGCAAAUGCUCCACUACAAGAUGGACCUGCGUUGUAUUAGCUAGUAGGUGAGGUAACGGCUCACCUAGGCGACGAUACAUAGCCGACCUGAGAGGGUGAUCGGCCACACUGGGACUGAGACACGGCCCAGACUCCUACGGGAGGCAGCAGUAGGGAAUCUUCGGCAAUGGGGGCAACCCUGACCGAGCAACGCCGCGUGGGUGAAGAAGGUUUUCGGAUCGUAAAGCUCUGUUGUAAGUCAAGAACGAGUGUGAGAGUGGAAAGUUCACACUGUGACGGUAGCUUACCAGAAAGGGACGGCUAACUACGUG
Molecule: ribosomal RNA, 497 nt
Filed under: uncultured bacterium
Lineage: Bacteria
Description: partial 16S ribosomal RNA
Rfam family: Bacterial small subunit ribosomal RNA
Source: RNAcentral